UGAGUGUACAGAGAAGGAAAGGGAGGGAA
This 29-nucleotide non-coding RNA is filed under the name Rattus norvegicus (Norway rat). The record is from RNAcentral. Lineage: Eukaryota; Metazoa; Chordata; Mammalia; Rodentia; Muridae.